UCUUAUGACAUGAUUAUAAAUGGUUCAUGAUUUCAGUUCUAAUAUACUGAUCUAAUCACAUUACUAUUUCACUGUUUCAGUGUGAUCCAGUUCUGUGCGAUAACAUUUGCCUACUAUGCUCAAGCAACUGCAGCACAGGAAAUAUUUGGCCACACCUUGGAGUCCCUGCGUGGAAUUAAAUAUUUGUACAAGGAUGGAGAAAAAGAAAGCCUAGUGGCAGAUGAUUCUUCAUGAUGAUGAUGGAGAAAAAGUCUAUGCUAUCAGAGGCCAAAUUCAUGUGCCAAUAUAUGUCACUGGCAUUGUUAAAGUUCGCAAUGCAGAAAUUGCAAUUCUAGACAAUGAUCUUGGAAGUAUUGAAACCCAAAAAAUGCAUUUCUCAAGUUGAAACAUGAGACAAAAUAUGAGCACAUCUUUGCUGUUCGAAAUGCUGGCAAGAAAUUCGAGAUUGUUCUUGUUAAGUAUCUCUUGUUCUCUCUACUCAUUGAAUUUGUUAUAAUUCAUAUCAGAUAGAUAUUAACAGAUAUUGAAUUUCGAUUAUUUGUUCUUGUGCUUAUCACUUUAAAUUAUAAAAACCCAAUUGCAUCAUUGAGCAGAAAAUUUAUGUGCUGGUUUUAUAUAAUGCACCUUCAAUUUCUUCCAGUCGAGCUGGCUCUUUUAUCUAUUAAGUACAAACUAUGUGUAAUUAUAAUAUAAAUUGAAUGUCCUGACUGCUCUUGAUGUGGGAUAUUUAAUUGUUUACACUUAUUUUAAUAUAAACUUCCUUUUCUUUUUGUUUUAGGAGAACUCUUUCUUGCGGCCACUUGGCUAUCUUGAACAAGAGCAUAGAAAUAAUUAUAAUUAACUAUUAGUAAUUGGCAUUAAUGAAAAAAGCUAGUGUGUAUAUAUGUUAAUAAUUGGUUAAUUACCUCUCUUGCUUUUGUGUUAUCCCGCUAAUGUAUUUCUUCCUUCUUCUUGUUCUUGCUUCUCUGUCUUUGACUGAUGCUACUACCUUUGGUGGUGUUGCUUCUCUUUGACUGAUCCUCCUUCAUAUGAUUUUUUUAUGUGGUUUUGGUAGGUUUUGCAAUGGUGAACUGCCUAGUAAUAUUAGUGUUUCUAUUAAGGGCGUUACUUUACAUCUUCAUAAGGGUGCGGUUUCAUUAUGGCCAUCCAGAUGUAUUUGACAGAUCACUUUUUAUGUAAUUAGAUGAUAUUAAAAUAUUGAAGUUGUUAUUUUAUUUUAUUUUUUAAAGAAAAAUAGUAAUAAUUAUGUAGAACAAUACUAUAUGUAAUUAUGUUUGGAACUAUUGACAUUGAGAAUUUUUUUAUAUAUAGAGUUAUG
Arachis ipaensis is the source of this 1318-nucleotide non-coding RNA. The record is from RefSeq and is a predicted model, not a curated record. Lineage: Eukaryota; Viridiplantae; Streptophyta; Magnoliopsida; Fabales; Fabaceae.